Molecule: microRNA precursor, 77 nt
Filed under: Otolemur garnettii (small-eared galago)
Lineage: Eukaryota; Metazoa; Chordata; Mammalia; Primates; Galagidae
Description: miRNA (ENSOGAG00000021341.2)
Source: RNAcentral
UGGAUUAAAAAUAUCUAUGUAUGUGUGUGUGUGUGUGUAUGUGUAUAUACACACACACACACACACACAUAUAUAUA